This 373-nucleotide ribosomal RNA is filed under the name uncultured organism. RNAcentral's name for it is "bacterial SSU rRNA". It matches the Rfam family "Bacterial small subunit ribosomal RNA", at positions 526 to 896 of the family's 1533-position model. The record is from RNAcentral.
CAGAGGUCUCAAGCGUUGUUCGGAUUCAUUGGGCGUAAAGGGUGCGUAGGUGGCUUGGUAAGUUGAAGGUGAAAUCUCGGAGCUCAACUCCGAAAACUGCCUUCAAUACUGCUGAGCUCGAGGACUGUAGAGGAGAAUGGAAUUCACGGUGUAGCAGUGAAAUGCGUAGAUAUCGUGAGGAAGACCAGUGGCGAAGGCGAUUCUCUGGGCAGUUCCUGACACUGAGGCACGAAGGCUAGGGGAGCAAACGGGAUUAGAUACCCCGGUAGUCCUAGCAGUAAACGGUGCACGUUUGGUGUGGGAGGAUUCGACCCCUUCCGUGCCGGAGCUAACGCGUUAGACGUGCCGCCUGGGAAGUACGGUCGCAAGAUUA